UGGGGAAUAUUGCACAAUGGGCGCAAGCCUGAUGCAGCCAUGCCGCGUGUAUGAAGAAGGCCUUCGGGUUGUAAAGUACUUUCAGCGGGGAGGAAGGCGUUAAGGUUAAUAACCUUGGCGAUUGACGUUACCCGCAGAAGAAGCACCGGCUAACUCCGUGCCAGCAGCCGCGGUAAUACGGAGGGUGCAAGCGUUAAUCGGAAUUACUGGGCGUAAAGCGCACGCAGGCGGUCUGUCAAGUCGGAUGUGAAAUCCCCGGGCUCAACCUGGGAACUGCAUUCGAAACUGGCAGGCUAGAGUCUUGUAGAGGGGGGUAGAAUUCCAGGUGUAGCGGUGAAAUGCGUAGAGAUCUGGAGGAAUACCGGUGGCGAAGGCGGCCCCCUGGACAAAGACUGACGCUCAGGUGCGAAAGCGUGGGGAGCAAACAGG
This 429-nucleotide ribosomal RNA is filed under the name Chloroflexota bacterium. RNAcentral describes it as "Chloroflexi bacterium partial 16S ribosomal RNA". It matches the Rfam family "Bacterial small subunit ribosomal RNA", at positions 355 to 776 of the family's 1533-position model. Lineage: Bacteria; Bacillati; Chloroflexota. The record is from RNAcentral.